AUGGAGAUGAAACCCAAAAGAUUUUCAUUGGGGCGUAACCCUCUCAACGACGCACCACAUCGGAACCCGGGUGUGGUGGAAAAUGGGCAAGGGUCGGGCCGUCACCCCCCAGGUGGCGCGCCAUAUCUUGAUCCGGAUACGGUGGCAAGUGAGCGAGGAUCGGGUCGUCGCAUCCUUAGUGGCACGCUACAUCGGCGCCCGGAUGUAGUGGAAAAUGAGCAAGGGUCUUCGCAUUUGACUCGACGAGUGCGAAAUGUAAGGAAGCUAGCCGAGCCUAGGAGGAUUCGCUUAGGUAGCUGGAAUGUAGGGUCUCUGGCAGGGAAGCUUCGGGAGCUAGUUGAUGCAGCGGUGAGGAAAGGUGUUGAUAUCCUUUGCGUCCAAGAAACCAAAUGGAGAGGACAGAAGGCGAAGGAGGUGGAGGGUACCGGCUUCAAGCUGUAG
Molecule: ribosomal RNA, 441 nt
Filed under: Triticum aestivum (bread wheat)
Lineage: Eukaryota; Viridiplantae; Streptophyta; Magnoliopsida; Poales; Poaceae
Description: partial small subunit ribosomal RNA
Source: RNAcentral